UGCAGCGACGCCGCGUGAGGGAUGACGGCCUAUCGGGUUGUAAACCUCUUUCAGCAGGGACGAAGCGAGAGUGACGGUACCUGCAGAAGAAGCACCGGCCAACUACGUGCCAGCAGCCGCGGUAAUACGUAGGGUGCAAGCGUUGUCCGGAAUUACUGGGCGUAAAGAGCUCGUAGGCGGUUUGUCGCGUCGUCUGUGAAAACUCGAGGCUCAACCUCGAGCUUGCAGGCGAUACGGGCAGACUUGAGUACUGCAGGGGAGACUGGAAUUCCUGGUGUAGCGGUGAAAUGCGCAGAUAUCAGGAGGAACACCGGUGGCGAAGGCGGGUCUCUGGGCAGUAACUGACGCUGAGGAGCGAAAGCGUGGGUAGCGAACAGGAUUAGAUACCCUGGUAGUCCACGCCGUAAACGGUGGGCGCUAGGUGUGGGUUUCCUUCCACGGGAUCCGUGCCGUAGCUAACGCAUUAAGCGCCCCGCCUGGGGAGUACGGCCGCAAGGCUAAAACUCAAAGGAAUUGACGGGGGCCCGCACAAGCGGCGGAGCAUGUGGAUUAAUUCGAUGCAACGCGAAGAACCUUACCUGGGUUUGACAUAUACCGGAAAGCCGUAGAGAUACGGCCCCCCUUGUG
RNAcentral lists this ribosomal RNA (627 nucleotides) under Rhodococcus sp. So1Ps_513. RNAcentral describes it as "bacterial SSU rRNA". It matches the Rfam family "Bacterial small subunit ribosomal RNA", at positions 387 to 1022 of the family's 1533-position model. Lineage: Bacteria; Bacillati; Actinomycetota; Actinomycetes; Mycobacteriales; Nocardiaceae. The record is from RNAcentral.